GUGCUCAUUUCGGCAGCACAUAUACUAAAACUGGAAUGAUACAGAGAUUAGCAUAGCCCCUGCGCAAGGAUGACACACAAAUUCUUGAAGUGUUCCAUGUUUUU
Molecule: small nuclear RNA, 104 nt
Filed under: Myotis davidii
Lineage: Eukaryota; Metazoa; Chordata; Mammalia; Chiroptera; Vespertilionidae
Source: RNAcentral